CAGCAGCCGCGGUAAUACGUAGGGGGCAAGCGUUGUCCGGAAUUAUUGGGCGUAAAGAGCGUGUAGGCGGCUCGGUAAGUCCGCUGUAAAAGUCCAGGGCUCAACCCUGGAAAGCCGGUGGAAACUGUCGAGCUAGAGUCCGGAAGAGGCGAGUGGAAUUCCUGGUGUAGCGGUGAAAUGCGCAGAUAUCAGGAGGAACACCAAUGGCGAAGGCAGCUCGCUGGGACGGUACUGACGCUGAGACGCGAAAGCGUGGGGAGCAAACAGG
This 268-nucleotide ribosomal RNA is filed under the name uncultured prokaryote. Its description in RNAcentral is "partial 16S ribosomal RNA". It matches the Rfam family "Bacterial small subunit ribosomal RNA", at positions 509 to 776 of the family's 1533-position model. The record is from RNAcentral.